This is a long non-coding RNA of Coffea arabica (coffee), 585 nucleotides long. RefSeq lists it as uncharacterized. NCBI's taxonomy places the organism in Eukaryota, Viridiplantae, Streptophyta, Magnoliopsida, Gentianales, Rubiaceae. The record is from RefSeq and is a predicted model, not a curated record.
UCAUCUUUCUCUCUCUAAAUUCGGCCCUCACAAGUAAAAAAAUAAAGGAAGAAGAGCUCUCCAAUUUUUCUGCUCAAACCUUGCACCUAAUCCAUCAAAGUUCCUCAUCAACUUGUGGGUUUUCAUCCUAGCUAAGUGGAGGAGCUGAUUUUGUGGCUUUGAGGGUGGAUUGGGUGGUUGAUGGUGGUGAAAUUUGGGAAGGAAAAUUCUGAUUUUGUUAGGUUUCAUAGCUCCAAGAGGUGAUCCAGAGGACACCGAGAAGCUCUUUUAAUUUCUUGCUUUUGCUCUUGCUUUGCUCCGGAUUACGUUCUAUGCAGGACUCGAGAAGGAUAGUUACUCAAGCACAAGGAUUUGGAGUACCGUGGAUUAUCCUUUAUUUGGGUUGUGAUUGAUUUUCAUUGUGGAAUGUAAUGGUUAUUUUGAAAGAUUUGUGAACUUUAUGGUAUGAUGUACUUGUGGUUGAAGUGAAUGUAAAUCUCAUGAUAUUUUGGGGAUUAUACUUUUGUAAGAAUGAUUUGAAUUGCAAACAUAAGGAUUGUACUUAAGUUAUUAUUAUGAAAAUUUAGAUGAAGUAUUGGACUUGUA